AAACCUGAGAGGCAGCCCCCACCAGGGCACCAUUUCUUUAGUGACUCUGUUCUUUUUCCCACUUAUCAGUACAAUCCUUUAUCCUUUUCUUCUGCCUCACUCCCCAACCCUUUUCAGCACCAAAAGCAGAUCUUCUGCACUUCCUAUCCCCUUUCUCUGCUACCAGCCUCCCCAAUUGGAAACCCCAGUUCUAUGGUUUCUAUGAAAACAAAAAAUGAGGUGAGAGAAAUGAAGUCCAGUAAUAAUAUGGAAUCUUAAGAUCUCUCCUUUGCUUUCCUUCCUGUUUCCCUUUCUUUGUUAUAUAUAACGCCACAGUAUCAACCUACAGCCGCCACAAUCAAGACCUGAAACCAAAACAAUGUUAUCAUCAUCAUCAUCAUCAUCUCCAUUUGUCUACUCUCUUACCCUUUUCUUUUCUCUUUUCCUCCUUUUCUUCUUUGCGCCCCAGAUCCUACCUCUCAAGAAGCAACAAUCCCCAAUCACUUUCCAGGACGAACUGGACGAUCUCCAGCUCUUCCAUGAAGCCACUCUCGCAUCGUCCCGUGGCUUUUCCAAGAUUUCCCAUCUGGGUACCACCAAUCCCACGCCUAAAAUCGCCUUCCUUUUCCUUACGAACUCGGAUCUCGUCUUUGCCCCCUUGUGGCAACGCUUUUUCCAGGGAAACGAUCAUCUAUUCAACGUUUACGUCCAUGCGGAUCCGUACUCCAAACUGUCAACCCCGCAGUGGUCAGUCAAAGCCAAUUUCAUCCCAGCCAAGAGAACGGAACGCGGCUCCCCAACACUCGUCUCCGCCGCCCGCAGACUCCUCGCCAACGCCAUCAUCGACGAUCCAUUCAAUCUAUACUUUGCCCUGUUGUCCCAACAUUGCAUUCCUCUCCAUUCCUUCCAAUACAUUUACACUUCCCUUCUCGGGAACCCGACAGCAGCAUCCAAAUCCUUCCUAACUCAACCAUCUCACAAAAGCUCCAUCGAGAUUUUGUCCAAUGAGCCACAUUUGCACAACCGCUACGUUGCUCGAGGCGAGGGUGUGAUGCUCCCUGAAGUAUCAUUCCAGCGGUUCAGGGUUGGAUCUCAGUUUUUCGUGCUGGCAAAAAGACAUGCUUUACUUGUACUGAAAGAAAGGAAGUUAUGGAGAAAAUUUAAACUCCCUUGCUUAGACUUGGACUCUUGCUACCCCGAGGAGCAUUAUUUUCCUACAUUAUUGUCAAUGCAGGAUCCACGAGGAUGCAGCCAUUACACAUUAACCAGGGUCAACUGGACCGACAGUGUUGAUGGUCAUCCACAUACCUACCAUUCCCCGGAGGUGUCACCGGACCUCUUACAUACAUUGAGGAAGUCGAAUUCGAGUUACUCCUAUUUUUUUGCUCGAAAGUUCUCUCCGGAUUGCUUGAAACCCUUGAUGGCAAUUGCCGAUGAUGUCAUCUUCAGAGAUUGAAGGGACCUAGGAUUGGUAGAAGCCAAGAGGCAUCAUCCCGUUUUGGUUUUAGUUAGGUUUAAGAAGCUUUGGGGUCUUUGGGAGUGGAGAAAGAAUCAUGUUGCCGUGUGGGGUUAAUUUCAUUAAAUUAAUGCCCACCUAUGCCUAGGUGCUCUUUUGUCUUUUGUACAGAAAUUGGAUCACCAUGAAUACAUGGUACUAGUUUUACCCUUUAUUGAGUUUUCAAAAGUUCUCUUGGAAGGUUUGAAAGGAAGGUGGGCAUAGAGUGGAGUGGAGAAAAGCAAUAUGGUUUAAACAACUGCCUUUUGCUUCCUCUGGUUUCUUAUUUUUUUUUUUGGGUCCCGUAAUGAUCUCCCAUUUGCUCCUUCCACCAAGCUUCUGUUAUUGCAAUUAUACUAUGUUACCUACACCAUGGGGAAAUGAAAUUUCUCUUUUCAUUUU
This is a non-coding RNA of Theobroma cacao (cacao), 1876 nucleotides long. Lineage: Eukaryota; Viridiplantae; Streptophyta; Magnoliopsida; Malvales; Malvaceae. The record is from RefSeq and is a predicted model, not a curated record.